CGGCUCCGCUUCAGGAUGGGCCCGCGUCCCAUUAGCUGGUUGGUGAGGUAAAGGCCCACCAAGGCAACGAUGGGUAUCCGGCCUGAGAGGGUGAACGGACACAUUGGGACUGAGAUACGGCCCAAACUCCUACGGGAGGCAGCAGCUAAGAAUCUUCCGCAAUGGACGAAAGUCUGACGGAGCGACGCCGUGUGAAUGAAGAAGGCCGAAAGGUUGUAAAAUUCUUUUGCAGAUGAAGAAUAAGAAGAAGAGGGAA
RNAcentral lists this ribosomal RNA (256 nucleotides) under Treponema denticola. RNAcentral describes it as "partial 16S ribosomal RNA". It matches the Rfam family "Bacterial small subunit ribosomal RNA", at positions 210 to 464 of the family's 1533-position model. Lineage: Bacteria; Pseudomonadati; Spirochaetota; Spirochaetia; Treponematales; Treponemataceae. The record is from RNAcentral.